UCUUAUUAAUGGUCGGAAGAACGUUUCGUCGGUUACAAGAAAAGGAAAGCGUGAAAGAAAAGGUGUCGGAGCCUCGAAGGCUUUACCGGAGAGAUACAACAAGGCGAGAUAACAAAGGUAAAACCCUGAUCUAGCCGCCCAGUGGGUAUCAGUGAUUUUUUGGAUUCUCCCUACGUUGCCUUUCCUUCCCCUUUUAUAGCUGACCUCACCCUCUUCGGUGACCUAGUUUGUGUCGUCUCUGUGGGCUUUAACUCGCUGGGCCGAGAAGCCCACGUUGUCUCGUGGAGUCGUUUCCUCGGGGUGUUUAGUCGAGAAGCCCAUCGAAAGCUCUCUCACAUUACGCCGAGAGAUCGACCCUUCAAGCCGCCGCGUCGAACCGAUGCUCCGCUUCAUAUGGGCCAGGCCGUCUGUUCUUCGGGCCUUGAGGGAUGGUCGAAUUUACCAUCUACAUAUACUUCAAAAAAAUUAGUUGAAAUCCCACUUGGACCAGAAAUAUCCAAAAACGUUCAUGAGAAAGAGACAAAAUUGUACGAAGGGGCAAGUUAUACGUGAGCCUUUUUCUCACUCUAACGCACACGGCACGGCACACGACCAUGAUGAUGUGAAUAUAAAUGUUUCCAAUUAGCGCCUUUAUCCUAAUGGCCGGUGGAGAAAUUAAUAACGGUGCUUUUCACGAUAACAUAGUGCAAAAUCUUAUGAAUAAAAUAAAACUGUAUAUAAAAUUGAUUACUUCUUGUUGUUGUCUCCAUAAUUGACUAAUGCAAUAGUAUAUGGAAGCUUUGGUGGCAAGGGAAAGACUAUUCAAACAAACCAAAUUAUUGGAGCAGGUUUAGAUAUUCAUGGUUAGAUAAAAUGGUUUAGAUUUUUUAAACAGAAACGUUUGAUUCAAAUAUCCGUCUCACUAGCAGUUGAAAUAGAUCACAAUUCUAUGUUGUUAGGAGUCAAUCAUAUAUAAUACAUGCAUUUUGUAAACUGUUUUACGUAAGAAGAAUAUAAUUUACAAAUUUAUAAUACUCAACCAAUAUAGUUAUCGAUCGAAAUGUUUACAUAAGAGAAAAUACGAUUUUAGUGUGAGAAUUUCUAACUAGAAAAUCCGUUCAUAUAGUGCUGAUUUUUUAUUUCUAAAAAUCCGAGUCUUACAUGGAGAUGCAAACGUUCAGAUGGAAGAAACGGCCUUAGAAAUCAUCAAGGCCGCAAAGGAUAAACAAGUCACCUCAAACUACACAGGGCGUUCGGAGAGUAACCCAGCUACUCCACCUCCGGUGCAAGGGUUCUCCAUACAGGUGCUCCUGUUCCCAGAUCCAUCAGUCCUCUACACCCCACCAGUAAGGGAAGAGGAAGACCUUGGAUUUGACUCCUAUUACAGUGAUGUUGCUCCAGCCAGAGUCCAUAACUCUCCAUCAGAUACUAGAGUCGAUACUGCAAGAAUCAAAUCAAUCAUCGUUAGCCCCCUAAUGGAAACGGAAGAAGUACAUCCAAGAGUCCAGGAAACUGCAUUAGUGUGGGAAAAGGAAGAAACACUUAUGGAACUUCAAAACAAAAAGAAACGAAAAUGUCAGAUUUUCGGUUUCCUCCAACCCGGGCUUUUUGGUAGUGCUGAGCUGGAACUGUUGUGCACUGGAGAACCCCAUAACAGUCCAGCGUUUAAAGGAGUCUCCUGAUAUCACCUUCCUGAUGGAAUAAAAAAACACAAAAGAAAUGAUU
This 1704-nucleotide long non-coding RNA is filed under the name Brassica napus (rape). Its description in RNAcentral is "long non-coding RNA (BNAP_LNC017344)". The record is from RNAcentral. Lineage: Eukaryota; Viridiplantae; Streptophyta; Magnoliopsida; Brassicales; Brassicaceae.